This 546-nucleotide long non-coding RNA is filed under the name Erythranthe guttata (spotted monkey flower). RNAcentral describes it as "long non-coding RNA (EGUT_LNC002601)". The record is from RNAcentral. Lineage: Eukaryota; Viridiplantae; Streptophyta; Magnoliopsida; Lamiales; Phrymaceae.
GUGUGAAUACAUAACCCUAAUAGGGUUUCUUACAUUUGCUUAUAGAGAAUUAUUUACGGUUCUUUCCUUAUUUACAAUCACUAUUUUCGUCUAUGAUUACAAUUGCUCAAUCAACAAUUUCAAUCUACAAUCUCUUCUUAUCAAUUUAUGGAAGUUAUCUUCAGAUUUCACCCUAACGGUCUAUGAGAUCAGUUCGCCGUUCGGCGUGUCUUCCCUUCUCACUUCUACCUGCAUAGACAAGUGGGGAGAGCUUUCAUGUGAUGACCUCUUAUGGGCGAGCUUCUGACCAACUCUGGCGAUCAUGCUCCAUGGAAGCGAGCUCUUAGUCCAUCUUAACUUUCGAGAUAUGUCGGGCGAACUUCCGACCCCACUUUACUCUCUUCGCCCUAUUGGACCUCCUGCCCAUUAUGCCGAGAAGGUGGGGGUAUGGCUUAUUUGCCGAACGUACCCCUAUCACCCGUCAUGAUUUGAUUGGCAUUAAUUUAAUAAUUACUAAUUAUAGGAAUUACGUAUAUAAGCAGUGAAAUACAUAAAUGGAGGAUAAAU